AUUCGAGGGGGUCCCGUUGAA
This 21-nucleotide small nuclear RNA is filed under the name Arabidopsis thaliana (thale cress). RNAcentral's name for it is "snRNA_17031". Lineage: Eukaryota; Viridiplantae; Streptophyta; Magnoliopsida; Brassicales; Brassicaceae. The record is from RNAcentral.